Molecule: ribosomal RNA, 434 nt
Filed under: uncultured bacterium
Lineage: Bacteria
Description: partial 16S ribosomal RNA
Rfam family: Bacterial small subunit ribosomal RNA
Source: RNAcentral
CCUACGGGAGGCAGCAGUGGGGAAUAUUGCACAAUGGGGGAAACCCUGAUGCAGCGACGCCGCGUGAGUGAAGAAGUAUUUCGGUAUGUAAAGCUCUAUCAGCAGGGAAGAAGAAAGACGGUACCUGACUAAGAAGCCCCGGCUAACUACGUGCCAGCAGCCGCGGUAAUACGUAGGGGGCAAGCGUGAUCCGGAUUUACUGGGUGUAAAGGGAGCGUAGACGGCGGUGCAAGUCUGAAGUGAAAGCCCAGGGCUCAACCCUGGGACUGCUUUGGAAACUGUGGAGGUAGAGGGCGGGAGAGGUAAGUGGAAUGCCUAGUGGAGCGGUGAAAUGCGUAGAUAUUAGGAGGAACACCAGUGGCGAAGGCGGCUUACUGGACAGUAACGGACGUUGAGGCUGGAAAGCGUGGGGAGCAAACAGGAUUAGAGUAGUC